Molecule: long non-coding RNA, 306 nt
Organism: Photinus pyralis (common eastern firefly)
Lineage: Eukaryota; Metazoa; Arthropoda; Insecta; Coleoptera; Lampyridae
Exons: 2
Source: RefSeq, a predicted model, not a curated record
CAUGAAAAGUUGUAUUUGUAUCCUACUGGUAUUGGCGCUAGUUGGCCUGUCAAUGGCUGACAUAGAGUGCUAUCAUACCGAUUUGAAUAUAAAUACAUGUAAAAAACCUUACUGUGAUUGGUGGUGGGGUUCGUGUCCUGAAGGAUAUGAAAGAUGCCACUGGAAUCCAGUGAACUGGUGCAGAUUCUUUUACCAUACCUGCUGCAUAACAAAAUAAAUUCACGAUGGUGUUGCUUCUACAUUAAUUCAUUCAAUUAUUUCCAAAAAAUGUAUUUUAUUCCGACAAAACUUAUGUUUUUUUGUUUA